This 460-nucleotide ribosomal RNA is filed under the name uncultured bacterium. RNAcentral describes it as "partial 16S ribosomal RNA". It matches the Rfam family "Bacterial small subunit ribosomal RNA", at positions 338 to 795 of the family's 1533-position model. The record is from RNAcentral.
CCUACGGGGGGCUGCAGUGAGGAAUAUUGGUCAAUGGACGAGAGUCUGAACCAGCCAAGUAGCGUGAAGGAUGACUGCCCUAUGGGUUGUAAACUUCUUUUAUAUGGGAAUAACAUGUUCCACGUGUGGGAUUUUGUAUGUACCAUAUGAAUAAGGAUCGGCUAACUCCGUGCCAGCAGCCGCGGUAAUACGGAGGAUCCGAGCGUUAUCCGGAUUUAUUGGGUUUAAAGGGAGCGUAGGUGGAUUGUUAAGUCAGUUGUGAAAGUUUGGGGCUCAACCGUAAAAUUGCAGUUGAAACUGGCAGUCUUGAGUACAGUAGAGGUGGGCGGAAUUCGUGGUGUAGCGGUGAAAUGCUUAGAUAUGACGAAGAACUCCGAUUGCGAAGGCAGCUCGCUGGACUGCAACUGACACUGAGGCUCGAAAGUGUGGGUAUCAAACAGGAUUAGAUACCCGGGUAGUC